UACGUAGGUGGCUAGCGUUAUCCGGAAUUAUUGGGCGUAAAGAGCGCGCAGGUGGUUGAUUAAGUCUGAUGUGAAAGCCCACGGCUUAACCGUGGAGGGUCAUUGGAAACUGGUCGACUUGAGUGCAGAAGAGGGAAGUGGAAUUCCAUGUGUAGCGGUGAAAUGCGUAGAGAUAUGGAGGAACACCAGUGGCGAAGGCGGCUUCCUGGUCUGUAACUGACACUGAGGCGCGAAAGCGUGGGGAGCAAACAGGAUUAGAUA
This 261-nucleotide ribosomal RNA is filed under the name uncultured prokaryote. RNAcentral describes it as "partial 16S ribosomal RNA". It matches the Rfam family "Bacterial small subunit ribosomal RNA", at positions 524 to 784 of the family's 1533-position model. The record is from RNAcentral.